RNAcentral lists this ribosomal RNA (301 nucleotides) under uncultured bacterium. RNAcentral's name for it is "partial 16S ribosomal RNA". It matches the Rfam family "Bacterial small subunit ribosomal RNA", at positions 509 to 807 of the family's 1533-position model. The record is from RNAcentral.
CAGCAGCCACGGUAACACGUAGGGUGCAAGCGUUAAUCGGAAUUACUGGGCGUAAAGCGUGCGCAGGCGGUUUGUUAAGACAGAUGUGAAAUCCCCGGGCUCAACCUGGGAACUGCAUUUGUGACUGGCAAGCUAGAGUGUGGCAGAGGGGGGUGGAAUUCCGCGUGUAGCAGUGAAAUGCGUAGAUAUGCGGAGGAACACCGAUGGCGAAGGCAGCCCCCUGGGCCAACACUGACGCUCAUGCACGAAAGCGUGGGGAGCAAACAGGAUUAGAUACCCCCGUAGUCCCUGUCUCUUAUAC